This 209-nucleotide ribosomal RNA is filed under the name uncultured bacterium. RNAcentral's name for it is "partial 16S ribosomal RNA". It matches the Rfam family "Bacterial small subunit ribosomal RNA", at positions 568 to 775 of the family's 1533-position model. The record is from RNAcentral.
CUCGUAGGUGGCCAACUAAGUCAGACGUGAAAUCCCUCAGCUUAACUGGGGAACUGCGUCUGAUACUGGAUGGCUUGAGAUUGGGAGAGGGAUGCGGAAUUCCAGGUGUAGCGGUGAAAUGCGUAGAUAUCUGGAGGAACACCGGUGGCGAAGGCGGCAUCCUGGACCAACACUGACACUGAGGAGCGAAAGCCGAGGGGAGACAAACG